UGGGGAAUUUUGGACAAUGGGCGAAAGCCUGAUCCAGCAAUGCCGCGUGUGUGAAGAAGGCCUUCGGGUUGUAAAGCACUUUUGUCCGGAAAGAAAUCCUCUGGGUUAAUACCUCGGGGGGAUACGGUACCGGAAGAAUAAGCACCGGCUAACUACGUGCCAGCAGCCGCGGUAAUACGUAGGGUGCAAGCGUUAAUCGGAAUUACUGGGCGUAAAGCGUGCGCAGGCGGUUUUGUAAGACGGAUGUGAAAUCCCCGGGCUUAACCUGGGAACUGCAUUCGUGACUGCAAGGCUAGAGNAUGGCAGAGGGGGGUUAGAAUUCCACGUGUGANCAGUGAAAUGCGUAGAGAUGUGGAGGAAUACCGAUGGCGAAGGCAGCCCCCUGGGCCAAUACUGACGCUCAUGCACGAAAGCGUGGGGA
This 421-nucleotide ribosomal RNA is filed under the name uncultured bacterium. Its description in RNAcentral is "partial 16S ribosomal RNA". It matches the Rfam family "Bacterial small subunit ribosomal RNA", at positions 355 to 767 of the family's 1533-position model. The record is from RNAcentral.